This is a non-coding RNA of Caretta caretta (loggerhead turtle), 73 nucleotides long. NCBI's taxonomy places the organism in Eukaryota, Metazoa, Chordata, Testudines, Cheloniidae. The record is from the annotation of a RefSeq genome assembly.
GCCUGGCUAGCUCAGUUGGUAAAGUAUGAGACUCUUAAUCUCACUGUUGUGGGUUCAAGCCCCAUGUUGGGCA